RNAcentral lists this ribosomal RNA (253 nucleotides) under uncultured bacterium. RNAcentral's name for it is "partial 16S ribosomal RNA". It matches the Rfam family "Bacterial small subunit ribosomal RNA", at positions 524 to 776 of the family's 1533-position model. The record is from RNAcentral.
UACGGAGGAUCCAAGCGUUAUCCGGAUUCAUUGGGUUUAAAGGGUGCGUAGGCGGACUGAUAAGUCAGCGGUGAAAUCUCUCGGCUUAACCGAGAAACUGCCGUUGAUACUGUCAGUCUUGAGUACAGAUGAUGUGGGCGGAAUAUGACAUGUAGUGGUGAAAUACUUAGAUAUGUCAUAGAACACCUAUUGCGAAGGCAGCUAACUACGCGAAUAUUGACGCUGAGGCACGAAAGCGUGGGGAUCAAACAGG